This 392-nucleotide transfer-messenger RNA is filed under the name Muricoccus aeriglobus. It matches the Rfam family "Alphaproteobacteria transfer-messenger RNA". From Rfam's summary of the family: Bacterial tmRNA, also known as 10Sa RNA or SsrA, is named for its dual tRNA and mRNA-like properties. Lineage: Bacteria; Pseudomonadati; Pseudomonadota; Alphaproteobacteria; Acetobacterales; Roseomonadaceae. The record is from RNAcentral.
GGCCUUUCCUUACGCCUGCACACUUCCUAUAUCGACCGAGCCGGCGGGUUCGCCUGCCCGGCUAUGGCGAUAAAGGAUUGCGUGCAAUAGACGCAGCGGACCCGGGGGCAGUACCCGGCGGCUCCACCAUAACCGGUGGUGUACUGGACACCGUUUCUGACGGGGCCGAACCAGGAUCGACGUGUGUUGAAAAGCGCUGUCUUUCGCUCGGAAUGGGACCACCGCAACGGCCCAUUACACAAGUGCCAACGAUAACGAAGCACUCGCGAUUGCGGCGUAACUGAUGGCCUAACGGCCUGACGUUACACCAAAAUAGCGCGGUCGGACCCCACCGGGCAACAGAAGGGGAUUCCAGCGGUUCGGGGAGCACCGGGCAACAGAAGCUCCCCACU